UGUAACAAAAAGGUGAUUUAAGAGAGAAAAGAACAUAGAAUUAUAUGGCCAAGACUAGUGUGAUGCAUGCAAUCAUAUUAUUGAUGAUUGGAGUGCUUAUUUGUAUUGGCAGUGCUAAAUUUCAUGAAAAUAUUCCUAUGAAAUCUUGGGCAACUCCAUCUUAUUAUAUUAUUGCAGGAGGAAGAGGAAGAACUGCACUAGGAAAGUGUACCAAGUAUUGUCGAGAUGAGUAUGCAGAAGAUCUAAGAAAGACAAAAGAGUGCAUUAAGAAAUGCGUUGUCCUUGAAUGUGAGGAACGCCAUGGGAAUGAUCCAAGAAAGAAGAAAGAAUGCAUUAAUAAACUUUAUGCUAGGUUCACCCAAAUAAUAAAAAAAUAAGCAUAUACAAGUUGUUGUGAAUUUUUUUUGAAAUUCUUAAUUUUAUAAUUCCUCGUAUUUUAUUAUUUUAUAUGAAUAUUUGAUGUGAUAAUUUUAAUUUCUCCCUCUUUUAUGUUGAGAGAGUACUGAAUCA
RNAcentral lists this long non-coding RNA (510 nucleotides) under Arachis ipaensis. RNAcentral describes it as "long non-coding RNA (AIPA_LNC002045)". Lineage: Eukaryota; Viridiplantae; Streptophyta; Magnoliopsida; Fabales; Fabaceae. The record is from RNAcentral.